This 514-nucleotide ribosomal RNA is filed under the name uncultured Glomus. Its description in RNAcentral is "SSU rRNA". It matches the Rfam family "Eukaryotic small subunit ribosomal RNA", at positions 569 to 1085 of the family's 1831-position model. The record is from RNAcentral. Lineage: Eukaryota; Fungi; Glomeromycota; Glomeromycetes; Glomerales; Glomeraceae.
AGCAGCCGCGGUAAUUCCAGCUCCAAUAGCGUAUAUUAAAGUUGUUGCAGUUAAAAAGCUCGUAGUUGAAUUUCGGGGUCAGUAGGUUGGUCAUGCCACUGGUAUGUACUGGCCUCACUGAUUCCUCCUUCCUGAUGAGCCGUAAUGCCAUUAAUUUGGUGUUGCGAGGAAUCUGGACUGUUACUUUGAAAAAAUUAGAGUGUUUAAAGCAGGCUAACGCUUGAAUACAUUAGCAUGGAAUAAUGAAAUAGGACGUUCGAUCUUAUUUUGUUGGUUUCUAAGAUUGACGUAAUGAUUAAUAGGGAUAGUUGGGGGCAUUAGUAUUCAAUUGUCAGAGGUGAAAUUCUUGGAUUUAUUGAAGACUAACUACUGCGAAAGCAUUUGCCAAGGAUGUUUUCAUUAAUCAAGAACGAAAGUUAGGGGAUCGAAGACGAUCAGAUACCGUCGUAGUCUUAACCAUAAACUAUGCCAACUAGGGAUCGGAUGAUGUUAAUUUUUAAUGACUCGUUCGGCG